CAUUUCUAAAAACGGUCUCUGUACUCUUUGGGGAUUUUAGGCACUCAAGUUAUUCUUUUAAAAGAUUUCUGCUGACAUCCACGGGUCCUAUAAUUAACAUAUCAAGCCGCCAAAGGCCGGAAGUGUUCUGUCACCCCUAAAAAUACAGAACCCCUUCCUGAUCUUCCUCCAGUCUUGUUUUAGGAACCAUCAGACCACAUCCCACUCCUUCCACUCCGUUCUCUCUUGACAGAAUACAUCCACACCUCAGAUGUGAACGUUCAAGCCUUUUUCUUUUAUAAUUUUCCAAGUAAUGAACUCUACCCUCUAGGUUGGGGCCUGUGACAAGACAGACUUUAUCUGCCUUUUGUCCUGAACAGUCUCUCCCUGGCGCAUGCAGUCCCACACCCGCUGUUCCCACGCCUCCCCAAUCUUCAGGCCACCUCAUGUCCCAGCAGAUGUGUCAUCGGCAAGGAGACAUAUUUCACAGCCUCAAAUAUUCUCCAGUGGAUCAAUGCCCAGGUUGGACUUUUGUCAGGAAUGAUUUAUCGAAGAGAUACAUUUCCAUCAGAAUCUUCCUGAAGCAAUCAUCUCGGGGACGUAUGCUUAUUGGAUCUCAUUAUAAGUCCACAGCUUUGCUGCCAAGAUAUUAAGUAGUACCACACCUUUGAAAGCCACUUAUGGCUGUUCAUAAUGCAGCAGAGGUGGCUCAUUUCCCAGACCAGAUGUGAGGACUAGCUGAAUGCAGAGGGGACACAGAGGGGACGCAGAGGAUCGGUCACCUCCCCAGUGAAGACACCUGACUUCAUUGUGUGACUUGCAUUAUAGUUGUUCAUCUUUGGGGAGCGGGGUGGUGCCGUCACUGGCUUGGGAUGUUUACCAUAUCUUCCACCUCAAACACUCCUUGGAGCUUUGUGGAGACGAUAUUCUCAGCCCUCCUCUCCAGCUCUGUCUGAAGGACACUUCCACUCCGUGGAGAAUCCCAGUCACAGUGCCACAUUUUGUCAUCUCAAAGAUGUCAUUCUACUGCCAUCUGGCUUCCGUCAUCUCCAAUGAAAGGUUGGCUGUUGACCUAACUGCUUUUCCUCUGAGGCAUUUCCCAUCACCUCAACUGCUUCAGGAGUUGAAUUUCAAGUUAGUCUGGUUCUAUUAUUUUACAAACAGCAAUGCCAUUCCUCCCUUCUCCCUUCCCUCCCUCCUUCCCUUCUUCUACCCCUCCCUUUUCCCUCCUUCCCUUCCUUCCUCCUUUCUUCCCUCCCUCCCUCUGCCUCCUCUUCUUUCCCCCUCUUCCUUCUCUCCCUCUCUUUGUCUCCAACUUAGCUAGAAUUUUGAACCGACUCAGUCUCCCAAAGCACAUGUGUGCAUUUAUUCUACCUUUAGGUACUUUAUGUUCUACAAAUCAUAUACACGGUUUUCAACUUGUAGGUGCCCCCAAGUAAU
Molecule: long non-coding RNA, 1419 nt
Filed under: Mus musculus (house mouse)
Lineage: Eukaryota; Metazoa; Chordata; Mammalia; Rodentia; Muridae
Description: predicted gene, 34354
Source: RNAcentral